Molecule: ribosomal RNA, 490 nt
Filed under: uncultured bacterium
Lineage: Bacteria
Description: partial 16S ribosomal RNA
Rfam family: Bacterial small subunit ribosomal RNA
Source: RNAcentral
AUUGAACGCUGGCGGCAGGCCUAACACAUGCAAGUCGAACGGUAACAGGAAGCAGCUUGCUGCUUCGCUGACGAGUGGCGGACGGGUGAGUAAUGUCUGGGAAACUGCCUGAUGGAGGGGGAUAACUACUGGAAACGGUAGCUAAUACCGCAUAACGUCGCAAGACCAAAGAGGGGGACCUUAGGGCCUCUUGCCAUCGGACGUGCCCAGAUGGGAUUAGCUAGUAGGUGGGGUAACGGCUCACCUAGGCGACGAUCCCUAGCUGGUCUGAGAGGAUGACCAGCCACACUGGAACUGAGACACGGUCCAGACUCCUACGGGAGGCAGCAGUGGGGAAUAUUGCACAAUGGGCGCAAGCCUGAUGCAGCCAUGCCGCGUGUAUGAAGAAGGCCUUCGGGUUGUAAAGUACUUUCAGCGGGGAGGAAGGGAGUAAAGUUAAUACCUUUGCUCAUUGACGUUACCCGCAGAAGAAGCACCGGCUAACUCCGUG